Molecule: ribosomal RNA, 481 nt
Filed under: uncultured bacterium
Lineage: Bacteria
Description: partial 16S ribosomal RNA
Rfam family: Bacterial small subunit ribosomal RNA
Source: RNAcentral
GAUGAACGCUGGCGGCGUGCUUAACACAUGCAAGUCGAACGAAGCACUUUAUUUGAUUUCCUUCGGGACUGAUUAUUUUGUGACUGAGUGGCGGACGGGUGAGUAACGCGUGGGUAACCUGCCUUGUACAGGGGGAUAACAGUUGGAAACGGCUGCUAAUACCGCAUAAGCGCACAGCAUCGCAUGAUGCAGUGUGAAAAACUCCGGUGGUAUAAGAUGGACCCGCGUUGGAUUAGCUAGUUGGUGAGGUAACGGCCCACCAAGGCGACGAUCCAUAGCCGACCUGAGAGUGUGACCGGCCACAUUGGGACUGAGACACGGCCCAAACUCCUACGGGAGGCAGCAGUGGGGAAUAUUGCACAAUGGGCGAAAGCCUGAUGCAGCGACGCCGCGUGAGCGAAGAAGUAUUUCGGUAUGUAAAGCUCUAUCAGCAGGGAAGAUAAUGACGGUACCUGACGAAGAAGCACCGGCUAAAUACGUG